Molecule: long non-coding RNA, 5833 nt
Organism: Drosophila simulans
Lineage: Eukaryota; Metazoa; Arthropoda; Insecta; Diptera; Drosophilidae
Exons: 3
Source: RefSeq, a predicted model, not a curated record
CUUUUUGUGAUGUAGAACCCGAAGUCGCAAAGAAAAACAAGUAAUAACAAACGGUAUAUCACGAAUGUGGGCUCUUAGAAAUUUGUGUGCUUGACGAUUCCCUCUGCCUGCUCUCGGGCCUGCUCUUCGUGCAAAACGAAGUCGCAAAGAAAAACAAGUAAUAAAAAACGGUAUAUCACGAAUGUGGGCUCUUAGAAAUUUGUGUGCUUGACGAUUCUCUCUGCCUGCUUUCGGGCAGAGCUCGUUGUCGUCUUUUUGCGAUCUAGAACUUAGUCCAGUUGAUCGGCUUUCAAUUGUUUUUCGGUUUUUGACUGAGGCGGAAGUGUGCUUAUUAGCUCUGUCUUUUUUCGGGAAAAAAAAGUAUUGGCUUUCAAUUGUUUUUCGGUUCUUGACUGAGGCGGAAGUGUGCUGAUUAGCUCUGUCUUUUUUCGGGAAAAAAAGUAUUGCGAAAAUGUAACGACGCGUAUGUGCUGUACAUAUAUAUUUUUUGUGAAAUUGAUUAAUUAAAUACUAGGAGAAUUUCAUAUUUAAUGUCAAUUAAAACUUGUUUUGCACGUUCAGUAAGAGCGUGCAACGACUGUUUUGAAUUGCAUUGCUAAUCCUACAUAAAAGCAAAGGAGCUCAUUCUUCGUUAUUCAGUUGCCAACCGGCAGCCAAAAAGCCUGCCGGAAUUUAAGAAAAUCUGCCCGAACGACUGCGAGAGGACCAUUGUUCACACCACAUUGUGAACAUACGUGCAGGGAUUGCAGGCCCGGCACAUAACCCCAAUAAGAAGACAUCAUCAUCGUGGUGAGCAGCCCGCUCACUACGUCAUCGAGGGAGUGUCAGCGUGCCAACACUGGCGACGCCCAGCUGACACAGGAUAACGUGGUGUGCAGCCCGCCCACUACGUCAACGCGGGAAUAGUAUUCACACUGUGGUGCGCUAUCCGCACACAACAACAACGGUGGAUCAAUGAUCUCCAACAGCAACAACAACAACUGACAAGAGAGAACAGUCAGCGCUUCAAAGAGCGCAAAUUUUUUUAAUAGCACUGUGUGCAAAAUAUUUUCUGAUUGCACUGCAAUGCAUAUUUUUUUUAAUAAUUAUAAAAACCAAUUGUAACAUUGAGCGGAACCUUUUCUGCCCGAUGAGAAGUUCGGCCUGUAAAGCCAAACGAAAAUUUAGGUAGGAAACCUGUAAAUUCAUACGGAUGAAUUAAUUUUAAAUUUCUCACCGCCGCAAGGCGUCUUUACAACAACAAAUAGAUAUUUUAAAAUUAAAAAAAAAACGAAUCAAAGACAAAAUUAAUAUUUAAACAAUAAGUAAAUGUCAUUUAACAACUCUAUAAGUAAAUUAUAUCCAGACCCAAUAUAUUCAGAAAAAACUGUAUCAGGAGAAAACUUCUUUUCAAAUAUGGGUCUAGUUGAUGUUAAGUCAGUGUUAAAUAACAAGGUCGAAGUUGUGCCUUUAAACCUCGAUUACAUAAUAAUUUGUUUAAUUAUUAUGACAAUAAUUAUGUUUAUAAAUAUAUGUUAUAAACUAUACAAAAUGCAUAGUAACAGGGACAGGGUUUGAUAGCUGAAAGACAAUAAAUAAAUCGAAAAACAAAACAAAAAAAAUUUAGCCUUAGUAAGCAAGCAUAAAACUGCCUUGUCAAAAGCUUCAAAAAGAAAACAAGAAACAAGCUUAGUUAUGAACAUAUAAAUAAAUAUGAAAACAGAAUAUAAAAUAUAAUUAAAUAAAUCUUUUGAUUAACACCCCAGUUUCUAACUUGAUGGAUUGGCUAAAUAUAAUAGCUAAAAUCAAGAAACUGCGUGAAGACUUUGAUAGAUCGUUUAAGUGCCUCAAUAAGAGUGCACUAAUAAGUAACGAUACAAAGAUAAAACAGUUAGAGAGACUAUUAGGAAAAUAAAACGAGGCCCGUGUCAUAAUAAUUGACCACAAUACGAAACUAUCUUCGUUACAGCAGACACAAAUAAAAGAUAUAAUAUCUCGAUUAAAAGAGAACAUAUUAUAUGUGUCACAAAGACACAAGUUACAAGUACUUGUUCCGAAUUCACUAAAUUUCUCAGCUGAUUACUAGACGUAAUUGCUGAGGAAAGAAAUAGUAAGCCAAAAGAAAGUAAGAUAGUAAACAAGAUGGCACAAUCAGAAGUAGAUUUCCUAAAGACAACCUCGUCUCUAUUAAUCGAGUACGACGGCAAAGCCGAAAACCUACAGAGUUUCAAAGACGCUCUAUACUUGUUAGAUUCGAUAAAAGGAGAACAUGAGACUUUAGCAGUCAAUGUCAUUAAGACCAAACUAAAAGUUCAUGCUAGGAAUCUCAUUAGCACAGAAAACACAAUACAGGAAAUUAAAGAUAAUCUCUCGCGAACAGUAAAGGGAGAAUCUGUUGAGGCACUCUCUGCUAAAUUGCUAAAUCUGCAGCAAAAGAAGAAAACAGACUACCUCUACACGCAAGCAAUGACGAGAAAUUGAUAAGGUAAAAGUUAUCAUGCAAUCGGCACGUUCAACAGCAUGAACGAUGCCAUAUCUAAAUUUAAAGAUAUUUGCACAGAGGCAACUAGACAUUCCAACGGUGUUCCGCGGUCGUUAUAAUACAAGGGGCCGCCCUUAUUACAGAGGCGGUCAUCGUUAUUACAAUUCCAAUAAUAAUAAUAAUAGAAGAAACUCUAGAGGCCGCGGCAACUCGAACCCAGGCCAAAAUAUCAAUAAUCAAGGAAAUGUAAGAGUAGCCCAAAAUAACUCGGGAAACUCCGAACAAACUUUAGCUGCUCAAAAUAAAUAGUUACAAGGUUCACACAAUUAAUCUUAUCCAAAACAUAUUUGUUAGUUUUGUCAAUGUAGAAACAAAUAAGAAACUUAUCUUUUUAAUAGACACAGGUGCAGAUAUUACUCUUCUAAAAAAAAUUCUGAUAUCUUUAAUGAUAUUCAAGGAAACAAUAAAACUAAUAUUCAAGGAAUAGGACAAUAAUGAAUUUAAUCCAAAGGAUUAACUUCAAUUGAGAUACAGACAGACAAUUACAUAAUUCCACACGAUUUUCAUAUAGUAGAUACACAUUUCUUAAUCCCAUGUGAUAGAAUAUUAGGCAUUGAUUUCAUAAAGACAUUCAAUUGUGAAUUAGAUUUUAAUCAAACAGAAAAUUGGCUCAAAAUAAGACCAAAUAAUUUGAAUUUCCCAAUAUAUGUUCCAAUAAUAUACAGCUCUGGUAAUAACUCAAUAAUUCUACCAGCAAGAUCCCAGGUUGUCCGAAAAAUACAACUAUCCUCAAAUGAAGAUAGUGUUUUAAUACCUAACCAGGAAAUUCAAAAUGGCAUUUAUGUUGCAAACACAGUUGCAACAACCAAAAAUGCAUUUGUCCGAUUACUGAAUACAAAUAGUAAAGAUCAAAUAGUAAAAAUAAAAGAUCUACAAUAUGAAUCACUUUCGAACUAUGACAUAGUUCAAACCAAUUCUGAAGCGAGAGAAAGAACUGUCAUGUCUCAAUUAACAAAAAAUUUUCCACCGCAAUUCAAAUCUACACUAACAGAUUUAUGCACCAAGUAUAGCGAUGUAUUCUGACUUAAAACCGAAUCAAUCGAAACAAAUAAUUUCUACAAACAAAAGCUAAGAUUGACAGAUGAUGAGCCAGUAUAUAUUAAAAAUUAUAGAAAUCCUCAUAGUCAACUUGACGAAAUUCAAGUACAGGUAGAAAAAUUAAUUGAUAACAAAAUGGUCGAACCGUCUGUGUCCCCAUAUAACAGCCCACUCUUGUUAGUUCCAAAGAACUGACAAGAAAAAAUGGUGAUUAGUAAUUGACUAUCGUCAAAUUAAUAAAAAAUUGUUGUCCGAUAAAUUUCCACUCCCUAGAAUUGAUGAUAAUUUAGAUCAACUAGGUAGAGCAAAAUAUUUUUCAUGCCUAGACUUAAUGUCAGGUUUUCAACAAAUUAAACUCGAAAGUUCAAGAGAUGUAACGUCUUUUUCUACGAGCUAUGGCUCAUAUCGCUUCACGCGAUUACCAUUCGGUUUAAAAAUAGCACCAAAUUCUUUUCAGAGAAUGAUGACUAUAGCUUUCUCUGGACUUGAACCGUCUCAAGCAUUCCUGUAUAUGGAUGAUUUAAUAGUUAUUGGUUGUUACGAAAAACAUAUGGUUAAAAACUUGACUGAUGUUUUUGAGAAAUGUAGGAAAUACAACCCAAAGCUACAUCCAGAAAAAUGUUCAUUUUUCAUGCAUGAAGUCACAUUUUUGGGCCACAAAUGCACAGAUCAAGGAAUCUUGCCAGAUGACAAAAAAUAUGACGUCAUCAAAAAUUAUCCAGUCCCACAUGAUGCGGACGAUUUAUUGCAUUUUGCAAUUACUAUAGACGUUUUAUCCAAAAUUUUACCAAACAUUCUCGUCACAUAACAAGAUUAUGUAAAAAAGAUGUAAAAUUUGAAUGGACAGCUGAAUGCCAGCAUGUCUUCGAACAUCUCAAAUCGGCACUAGUUAAUCCCAAUUUAAUACAAUACCCAAAUUUCAGCAAAGAAUUUUGCAUUAUAACGGAUGCAAGUAAGCAAACUUGUGGAGCAGUGUUAACUCAAUGCAAAAAUGGUCUCCAACUUCCAGUGGCAUAUGCAUCAAGAGCGUUUACCAAGGGUGAAAGUAACAAAAGCACAACAGAACAAGAAUUGGCAGCAAUUCAUUGGGCAAUAACUCAUUUCAGACCAUAUAUUUAUGGUAGACAUUUCACUGUCAAAACAGACCACAGACCACUUACAUACCUGUUCUCUAUGAAAAAUCCGAUCUCUAAACUAACUCGUAUGAGACUUGAAAUAGAGGAGUAUAAUUUUACAAAUGAGUAUCUAAAGGGAAAAGAUAACUAUGUAGCUGAUGCGUUAUCAAGAAUAACCAUCAAAGAACUACAAGAAAUGACAAGAAAUAUAAAGAAAGUCACUACAAGAUAUCAAAGUAUACAAAAAUCCUGCGCAGGAGAUAAAGACUUAGAAUUGCCUAAGCAAUCUAUAGAAAAAGCUUCAAAGCCCAACGUAUAUGAAGUCAUCAAAAAUGACGAAUUACGUAAAGUAGUCACCUUGCAUAUAAAAAAUAUGCUAUGUUUCUUUAAACAUGGUAAGAAAAUUAUUGCAAGAUAUGAUGUUAGCGAUUUAUAUACUAAUGGAAUAUUUGACUUAGGUCACUUUUUCCAAAGGUUUGAAAUGCAAGCCGGUAUAAAUGAAAUCAGCCAACUCAAAGUGGCACCGUGGGAAUAUAUCUUUGAACAUGUUUCAAUUGAUAAUUUUAAAAUAAUAAAUUCAUUGAGAGUAGCGCUACUCAACCCGGUGACCCUAAUAGAAAAAUUAAAAGAAAAAGAAGCUAUAUUGUCUACAUUUCAUGACGAUCCAAUACAAGGAGGUUACACAAGCAUCACAAAAACUUUGGCCAAGGUCAAAAGAUACUAUUACUGGAAAGCUAUGUCUAAAGAUAUAACUGAGUACAUUAGAAAAUGUAAGAAAUGCCAAAAAUCAAAAGUGACAAGAAAUACAAUAACUCCUUUAACAAUAACAGAAACCCCAAUAAUAACCCCGACAGGGUGAUAGUGGACACUAUUGGUCCGCUACCAAAAUCAGGAAAUGGCAAUGAAUAUGCAAUCACACUAAUAUGCGAUUUAACUAAAUAUCUAGUUACCAUACCAGUUGCAAAGAAAAGUGCAAAUACUGUCGCUAAAACAAUUUAUGAAUCUUUUAUUUUAAAGUAAGGUCCAAUGAAGACGUUCAUUACGGAAAUGGGAACAGAAUAUAAGAAUUCAGUUAUAAAUGACUUGUGCAAAUAUCUUAAAAUAAAAAAUAUAACAUCAACUGCACACCAUCACCAGGCAGUUGGAACAGUCGAAAGAA